UGUUUUACUCAGGCUCGAACCGAAACAAGAUUUUAAUUCUCUGACCCUCAACUGACAGUGCCCAGCUGCAAGUGGGGGGCAGCUGGCCCAAGGGUAAAGAUUUGCCAUGGACCCUCUCACCCCUGGAAACAAAUUCAAGGUAUCUUUCUUCAUCUUGGUGCUUAGGACUUAUCUUCAUCUCCAUUUUAUGGCAAAUUUUUUCCUUUGUUAAAAAGUUAUGUAAUUUUGAAUAGAUAAAAAAUGUUUAAGUGUAAAAUUUAAAAGACAGAAAAAUAUAUAUGGGGUAGCUAAGGCUCUCCCUCCUCCUGUUUCCCAGACUCUCAGCCCUUGUCUUUGGAGGCUCCUGGUGUGUUGCCAUCAAUACGACCUUCAUGUAUUCUCUGUGCAUCAAAUACAAAUGCUUGUAUAUAUUUUCUCCCUUUAUACACCAUGGCAGCCGUUGUAGAAACUCCCUGUGCUGCCCCCUGGCACGCUUCUCAGUGCGCCUUCCAUGUGAAUAAUAAAGAA
This 507-nucleotide long non-coding RNA is filed under the name Marmota monax (woodchuck). The record is from RNAcentral. Lineage: Eukaryota; Metazoa; Chordata; Mammalia; Rodentia; Sciuridae.